RNA transcript from Brassica napus (rape), 1237 nucleotides. RefSeq lists it as uncharacterized. NCBI's taxonomy places the organism in Eukaryota, Viridiplantae, Streptophyta, Magnoliopsida, Brassicales, Brassicaceae. The transcript has 5 exons. The record is from RefSeq and is a predicted model, not a curated record.
ACUCUAAUCGCCAACGGCCAACGUAUAACCAGAAAGUAAAAGUAGCCAUUACGAGUCUAACCAUAGAUGCACAUGAAAGUUGCUUGCUUUGAUGAUGUUGAUUUUAUGAGUCAGUUUUCAUGGAUUUUAAUUUAAAACCAUGAGAGGCUGUGAUGAUGUUUAAGUCAUUAGUCAAUUUUCAUUAAUGGUGUUAAUGUAAACAAUGGUAUUUGUAAUCUAAUUUAUAGAAUAUAUGAGCAAUCUACUCCUAUAAAUUCCAAUAGUAGUUCAUAGAAAAUUUUAUAAAAUACUAAAGAGUAGGUUCUAAGGAUUAUAAUUAACCAUAACAAAUGGGAAUGGCCACGGUAGCACUGAUGCUUAUAGGGGUGAUAAUCUAUCCUUGUGUAUGUGGAAAAGAGUUCUCCGAUCACCAGGAAAUCAAAAUACAAACUCUUUUGAAGCGGCUCAACAAGCAUGCUCUUAUAUCCAUUAAGACCGUAGAUGGAGAUAUAAUAGAUUGUGUUCCAAUACAUAGUCAACCAGCUUUUGAUCAUCCUCUGCUUCGAAAUCACACCAUCCAGUUUUGCAAAUGUCAGGCACGGCCCUGGUUGAAACGUUCAGUUUUCGCACGUAGAUGAGACCGAGCUUUAUACCGGAAAUUACGUCUACGUACACCAAGAAAAAGACAAAGGCACCUCAAGCGUGGCACAAGAAUGGAAGAUGCCCAAAAAAUACAGUUCCGAUAAGAAGAAUAAUGAAAGAAGAUAUCUUACGAUCAAAAUCCAUUGAGAGUUUUGGAAAAAAAACGACUUCAAGCAUCCCUGAAAAUGAUCCAAGUAAAGGCCAUGAGUACGCGGUCAUGAAUUCCAUGCAAGGAAAGUAUUUCGGCACCAAAUUUGCAGUAAAUAUGUGGAAACCAGAAGUUCAAGUUCCCAACGAGUUCAGCUUAGCUCAGACUUGGCUCGUUUCUGGAGUUGGCACUACUCGUAACACAAUUGAAGCUGGUUUACAGGUUUAUCCAGGAAAAUAUGGUGAUAAUAAUCUAAGAUUAUUUGUUUUCUGGACAGUAAGUUCCCAUUUCUGCGCAAAACAAUUUAAAAGCUUUAAAUUUUUAAACUUCUCGCUAGCUAGUUUUUGGAUUUUAAAUAAAACUAGAUGAUAAUCUGCGUCCUACGCGGGAUGAGUUUAAAAAAAAAAUAUUGUACUUGAAUAUUAAAAAAAUAUACAUUUUGUUAUCAAUAACUUUUUUUACAUUUGA